This 253-nucleotide ribosomal RNA is filed under the name uncultured bacterium. Its description in RNAcentral is "partial 16S ribosomal RNA". It matches the Rfam family "Bacterial small subunit ribosomal RNA", at positions 524 to 776 of the family's 1533-position model. The record is from RNAcentral.
UACGAAGGGUGCAAGCGUUAGUCGGAAUUACUGGGCGUAAAGCGUGCGUAGGCGGUUUCCUAAGUCGGAUGUGAAAGCCCUGGGCUCAACCUGGGAAUGGCACUCGAUACUGGGAAGCUGGAGUGCGGUAGAGGAGGGUGGAAUUCCCGGUGUAGCGGUGAAAUGCGUAGAGAUCGGGAGGAACAUCAGUGGCGAAGGCGACCCUCUGGACCAGCACUGACGCUGAGGAGCGAAAGCGUGGGGAGCGAACAGG